GGCCUUGUGGUCUAGUGGUAUGAUUCGUGCUUUGGGAGUCAAACCCCUCUACUGAGAGAGUAAUGUGCGAGAUCUCGGGUUCAAUCCCCGACAAGGCCC
This is a non-coding RNA of Immersiella caudata, 99 nucleotides long. The record is from the annotation of a GenBank genome assembly. Lineage: Eukaryota; Fungi; Ascomycota; Sordariomycetes; Sordariales; Lasiosphaeriaceae.